This is a long non-coding RNA of Callithrix jacchus (white-tufted-ear marmoset), 2174 nucleotides long. RefSeq lists it as uncharacterized. The record is from RefSeq and is a predicted model, not a curated record. NCBI's taxonomy places the organism in Eukaryota, Metazoa, Chordata, Mammalia, Primates, Cebidae.
CUGUCUGAGUCAGAUUGCCCUUGAAGCUGUCUACACGGCAGGUUCCUAUUAUCAUUUAGCUUUUCAUUCUGUGAUUCUCUGUAGGAGGGAGUUGGUGGUAAUGUCCUUUCAGGCUUGAUGUUCUGUUAAGAAGUGGGUGUUCUUUUUACCCUUAUUCACAAACUCCCAGUGGCGACCGCCUUGAGUGGGCUGUUUCUCUUCUUAGUCUAGCUAAAUCUGUGGGAUAGCUCAGAGGGAUUUUCCUCCCCGAGUCCCCGACAGCAGUGGGGCACCUCUGUGGGCGCCUCGUUUCCAAAACAGCUUUUACAUGGAUGAUGGCCAGAAGUACAAAGACUCGUAUUCCAAAUUCACUUCGACCUCUCCGCCAUCUUGAGAAGAAAAUGGCCAAGAAAAGAGCAAUGUGAUACCUGGGUCUGUCGCAGCCACCUUGGCAUCAUGAGGAGAGCCAGCUCAAAAGCACAAGUUAGCACCACAAUGAUGGCGAUUAGGAGGGCGUGAAACUCUGGGGCCUCGACAACGUCAUUGAGCUAUUGCUGAUGAACCAAUUUAGGCAAAACUCCAUCUGCAGACUUCUUACACGAGGCGUUCCUUACCUUCGCGCCUCACCUGUCCAUUCUGAGGACCACGGCAUCAUCCCAUGAAGAAGGAAAGCGGGCAUCAGGCCACUCCUUCAUGCCUGCCUGUUGUCGUCCAGGCGUCAGAAGGACUCUUGGUGAUAUGUCAACUUCAAGCUUUGCUGUCUCACCUGGAAUACAGCAGUAACAAUAGAUCCACUCUACCUGCUGGUUUUGCCUCAUUCCCAUUCAGAUACUACAAUGGAACCAGGGAUAUGCUUUCCUGAAGGCAGAGCUGAUGGUGCUGCUCCUCGGCUCACCAUCAUUUAACGGCCUUAUUAUCUACGGAUAUCUGCAGGCAUCUCAGUCCACCGUAGAAGGCCUGGCUCCAUCUGGGUCCUGCCUUCCUCUGUCAUCUCACCUUUCCCCUCAUCUUCCAUAGAUAUAAAAAUCUACCCACAUCAAACUACCUUAGCAUCCAGAGUGUGACCCAUGCUAAUACCUCCUUGGUGCCUUCAUUGCUGCUGCUUUCCUCUCUCUGGAUUGCAUUCUCUACCUUGUUCUCCCUGCACCUCCUUUAUAAAGUCACUUUUAUUUUUAUUUUAUUUUUUCUAAAUAAGGCCUGGCUCUGUCACCCAGGCUGGAGUGCAGUGGCGUGAUCUCGGCUCACUGCAACCUCUGCCUUCCAGGCUCAAGCAAUCCUCCCACCUCAGCCUCCUGAGUAGCUGGGACUACAGGUGUUCAUCACCACAUCCGGCUAGUUUUUGUAUUUUUUGUAGAGAUGGGGUAUUUGCCAUGUUGUCCAGGCUGGUCUUGAAGUCUUGGGCUCAAGCAAUCUGCCUGCUUCGGCUUCCUAAAGUGCUGGGAUUACAGGCCUGAGCUACUGUGCCCAGCCUGACUCACAUCUUUGGUGUCUUCUGAAAGGCCUUCCCCAAUCCCCUCAUGCAAAACCAGAGUCUACCUCUUCUCUGCUCCUCCUUUUACUCAGCUAACUGCACCAAUCCCCUUGCCUUAGGAUUGCUUCUUUGUCUCUCUCUCCAGCUACAUGCUGAGCAUGUUGUGGACAGAACUUGGUCCGGUUCAUCUUUUUCUAUCCAGUGUCCUGCAUUGGGCUUUGCACACACUGAGUGCCUGCCAGACACUUUGUGGUUUUAAUGGAAGUAAAUCCAGUGGAAAAAGUAAGCAUAAAACACCUGCAGCAAUUUCUGAUGCAAGCACGUUUGUUGUAGGCAUUUUCUUUUUGGGUUUGAUCCUAGGAAACCAGAAAAAAAAUCAAACAUUAACUCCUUUGCAGGGUAGUGUCUGGAAGUAGAUCUUGAACAGAGGAAGAGAACUUGGGAGGUUGAGGCAGCACUGCUACAUGAGCACUACUAACUGACCUGGAAGUAGUCAAUGCUUUGUUUUCUCUCAUAUAUUUUCCUGCCAUUCAGACCAUCAAAACACUUUUUUUUUUUUGAGACGGAGUUUCACUCUUGUUACCCAGGCUGGAGUGCAAUGGUGCGAUCUCGGCUCACCGCAACCUCCGCCUCCUGGGUUCAGGCAAUUCUCCUGCCUCAGUCUCCUGAGUAGCUGGGAUUACAGGCACACGCCACUAUGCCCAGCUAAUUUUUUGUAUUUUUA